GGGGAUGUAAAGGUUUCGACGGGGAAUGUGACCUUUGGUAAGCGAGUAGCGGUGCGGAACCGCUAUAAAAUCCGCAACUUUAAAAAUAAACGACAACAAUAAAGUUGCUUUAGCUGCUUAAUACAGCUCGUCCUUUUUAAGAGCACCACGGCUUAAAACAGGGCGUCGAACAGUGGUAAAUGUGAACAGAGAACCGCCUCAUUUUCUGUCACACAGCAGAGGCUACCAAGCUGUAUAGUUUGUUGCCAAACGCUACAGUAAGGGAAUGUAAAUCGGCAAAUGCACUCGGAGAAAGCCAAAGCAAACGUUUUUCGGACAGGAGUUCGAUUCUCCUCAUCUCCACCA
RNAcentral lists this transfer-messenger RNA (345 nucleotides) under pig gut metagenome. It matches the Rfam family "transfer-messenger RNA". Rfam says of the family: Bacterial tmRNA, also known as 10Sa RNA or SsrA, is named for its dual tRNA and mRNA-like properties. Its role is to liberate the mRNA from a stalled ribosome. The record is from RNAcentral.